Molecule: long non-coding RNA, 183 nt
Organism: Myotis davidii
Lineage: Eukaryota; Metazoa; Chordata; Mammalia; Chiroptera; Vespertilionidae
Exons: 3
Source: RefSeq, a predicted model, not a curated record
CGCGCGCCAGAAGGCCGAGAUCGCCGCCUCCAGGACAAGCCAUGCCAAGGCCAAAGCUGAAGCUGCAGAACAGGCUGCCCUGGCUGCCAACCAAGAGUGCAACGUUGCCCGCAGUUUGGCCAGGGAGCUGGCUCCAGACUUCUACCAACCAGGCCCGGAAUACCAGAAGCGCCGGCUGCUGCA